AUCUCUGUAGAGUCUGCAUAUCAAUAAGCGGAGGAAAAGAAACUAACUAGGAUUCCCUUAGUAACGGCGAGUGAAGCGGGAAGAGCUCAAAUUUGAAAUCUUCAAGGUUCUACCUUGACGAAUUGUAGUUUAAAGAAGUGUUUUCUGUUAGAUGAGUAGCAAAAGUUCCUUGGAAUAGGACAUCAUAGAGGGUGAGAAUCCCGUAUUUGGUUAUUCAUUCUAGCUUUGUGAUACACUUUCAAAGAGUCGGAUUGUUUGGGAAUGCAGUCCAAAAUGGGUGGUAAAUUUCAUCUAAAGCUAAAGUAUUGGCGAGAGACCGAUAGCGAACAAGUACCGUGAGGGAAAGAUGAAAAGAACUUUGAAAAGAGAGUUAAACAGUACGUGAAAUUGUCAAAAGGGAAGCGUUUGACACCAGUGUUGUUUUUCCGAAAAUCAAUUACGAAUGGCUUGAUUUUGUGUUGUAUUGACCUUAUCAGCUUUCUUCACUUUUUUCGAGUCUUUCUUAAUGCACUUUUCGGUUAACAAGUCAACAUCAAUUUCCUUUGUUGUAAAAGAGUAUUCGGAAGGUGGCUUUCUUUUCGGAGAAAGUGUUUAUAGCCCUAUACUUCUACAAUCGGAGAGAUUGAGGUCUGCAGCGUAGAUCCUUCGGGGUUAGAUACACUUGUGCUAAGUUGUAGCUUUUCAUAGACAACUUGUUGACUAUGUUUAGUCAUGCGGCUUACUCGCUUGUGCUAUUUUACCUACGCUUAGGAUGUUGACUGAUAUGUAGUCGUA
RNAcentral lists this ribosomal RNA (774 nucleotides) under uncultured Neocallimastigales. Its description in RNAcentral is "partial large subunit ribosomal RNA". It matches the Rfam family "Eukaryotic large subunit ribosomal RNA", at positions 24 to 644 of the family's 3401-position model. The record is from RNAcentral. Lineage: Eukaryota; Fungi; Neocallimastigomycota; Neocallimastigomycetes; Neocallimastigales.